GUGUUUUUGUGGAAACUGAAUUGGUUAGGCAGCCAGAGAUAUAGCUAGUUUUGUUAACAAGGUGUAGAUAAGAUUAUAAUGGACUGUAGGAAGAAUGGGUCUUCCUUCUUCUUCUUCUUCUUCAUUCACAGCUGAUCUUUUUGGCACCAAGGAGCCACCACCUUCUACUUCAACUGGGAUUUUUGCUUCCAUCUUUCCACCACCAUCCACGGUUUUAGGGAGGAAAUCCUCAAGCUCUGAGGUGAUAGGAUCUUGGCAAAAGCAGCCCCUUGAAAAUCAAGGGUGGAACACCAAACAAGGAGCUCCAGCUGUGACUAGCGAGGCAGCAAGCUAUAACAUGCCUGACGAGAACAAGAAUUCUAUUUUUAUGGAAGAAAGAGCAGAACCAUGUCAUCUAAGUUCAUCACUUUACUAUGGUGGGCAAGACAACUAUUCUCAGCCNNNNNNNNNNCUGGAUCAUAUCCCAUGUUCAAGAAAGAUGGGGGAGAAGAUGAUCCUAACGGCAACAAUUCAAACGGUGCUUCUAGAGGAAAUUGGUGGCAAGGUUCACUUUAUUAUUAGGACCUUGCCUUCCCUUGUCAUAUGAAU
This 588-nucleotide unclassified non-coding RNA is filed under the name Hevea brasiliensis (rubber tree). The record is from RNAcentral. Lineage: Eukaryota; Viridiplantae; Streptophyta; Magnoliopsida; Malpighiales; Euphorbiaceae.